CUACGUUUCAUCACUGUGGCUGUGACACUUUGGUCGGAUAAUAAUGUCUUGUUCAGCGUUCGGUUGCACGGCAAGACACUCAAAGGAAUCGGCAGUUCAGUUUUUCCGACUGCCUUUCGAUGAUGCCAGGCUGAAACAAUGGUUGGUGAACAUGAGGAGAGAGACCAGCAGAUGGAACCACGAAAAGUCCCGUCUGCAGUUCACACUUUGAGGAAGAUCAGUUUUUUAGAGACAAGCAGGUAUCCAAUCUGAAAACUGAAUGAGCAGAGCCUCCAGAAGAAAGACCUGGUGUAUGGAGCCUCCAGGAGGAAGACCUGGUUUAUAGAGCCUCCAGAAGGAAGACCUGGUGUAUAGAGCCUCCAGGAGGAAGACCUGGUGUAUAGAGCCUCCAGAAGGAAGACCUGGUUUAUAGAGCCUCCAGAAGGAAGACCUGGUAUAUAGAGCCUACAGAAGGAAGACUGGUGUAUUGAGCGGUGUAUUUGGUGCCAUUUCAUCUGGAUGU
This is a long non-coding RNA of Etheostoma cragini (Arkansas darter), 502 nucleotides long. RefSeq lists it as uncharacterized. NCBI's taxonomy places the organism in Eukaryota, Metazoa, Chordata, Actinopteri, Perciformes, Percidae. The transcript is spliced from 3 exons. The record is from RefSeq and is a predicted model, not a curated record.